AGUCGAACGAGUUCUCGUUGAUGAUCGGUGCUUGCACCGAGAUUCAACAUGGAACGAGUGGCGGACGGGUGAGUAACACGUGGGUAACCUGCCCUUAAGUGGGGGAUAACAUUUGGAAACAGAUGCUAAUACCGCAUAGAUCCAAGAACCGCAUGGUUCUUGGCUGAAAGAUGGCGUAAGCUAUCGCUUUUGGAUGGACCCGCGGCGUAUUAGCUAGUUGGUGAGGUAAUGGCUCACCAAGGCGAUGAUACGUAGCCGAACUGAGAGGUUGAUCGGCCACAUUGGGACUGAGACACGGCCCAAACUCCUACGGGAGGCAGCAGUAGGGAAUCUUCCACAAUGGACGCAAGUCUGAUGGAGCAACGCCGCGUGAGUGAAGAAGGCUUUCGGGUCGUAAAACUCUGUUGUUGGAGAAGAAUGGUCGGCAGAGUAACUGUUGUCGGCGUGACGGUAUCCAACCAGAAAGCCACGGCUAACUACGUGCCAGCAGCCGCGGUAAUACGUAGGUGGCAAGCGUUAUCCGGAUUUAUUGGGCGUAAAGCGAGCGCAGGCGGUUUUUUAAGUCUGAUGUGAAAGCCCUCGGCUUAACCGAGGAAGCGCAUCGGAAACUGGGAAACUUGAGUGCAGAAGAGGACAGUGGAACUCCAUGUGUAGCGGUGAAAUGCGUAGAUAUAUGGAAGAACACCAGUGGCGAAGGCGGCUGUCUGGUCUGUAACUGACGCUGAGGCUCGAAAGCAUGGGUAGCGAACAGGAUUAGAUACCCUGGUAGUCCAUGCCGUAAACGAUGAAUGCUAGGUGUUGGAGGGUUUCCGCCCUUC
RNAcentral lists this ribosomal RNA (818 nucleotides) under uncultured bacterium. Its description in RNAcentral is "bacterial SSU rRNA". It matches the Rfam family "Bacterial small subunit ribosomal RNA", at positions 60 to 841 of the family's 1533-position model. The record is from RNAcentral.